GACGGGGCCCGCACAAGCGGUGGAUUAUGUGGAUUAAUUCGAUGCAACGCGAAAACCUUACCUACCCUUGACAUGCUAGGAACUUGCCAGAGAUGGCUUGGUGCCCGAAAGGGAACCUAGACACAGGUGCUGCAUGGCUGUCGUCAGCUCGUGUCGUGAGAUGUUGGGUUAAGUCCCGCAACGAGCGCAACCCUUGUCAUUAAUUGCCAUCAUUCAGUUGGGCACUUUAAUGAGACUGCCGGUGACAAACCGGAGGAAGGCGGGGAUGACGUCAAGUCCUCAUGGCCCUUAUGGGUAGGGCUUCACACGUAAUACAAUGGUCGGUACAGAGGGUUGCCAACCCGCGAGGGGGAGCCAAUCCCAGAAAACCGAUCGUAGUCCGGAUUGCAGUCUGCAACUCGACUGCAUGAAGUCGGAAUCGCUAGUAAUCGCGGAUCAGCAUGUCGCGGUGAAUACGUUCCCGGGCCUU
This 469-nucleotide ribosomal RNA is filed under the name uncultured Methylophilaceae bacterium. RNAcentral describes it as "bacterial SSU rRNA". It matches the Rfam family "Bacterial small subunit ribosomal RNA", at positions 916 to 1381 of the family's 1533-position model. Lineage: Bacteria; Pseudomonadati; Pseudomonadota; Betaproteobacteria; Nitrosomonadales; Methylophilaceae. The record is from RNAcentral.